This 440-nucleotide ribosomal RNA is filed under the name uncultured bacterium. Its description in RNAcentral is "partial 16S ribosomal RNA". It matches the Rfam family "Bacterial small subunit ribosomal RNA", at positions 338 to 795 of the family's 1533-position model. The record is from RNAcentral.
CCUACGGGUGGCAGCAGUGGGGAAUAUUGCACAAUGGGGGAAACCCUGAUGCAGCGACGCCGCGUGAGUGAAGAAGUAUCUCGGUACGUAAAGCUCUAUCAGCAGGGAAGAAAAUGACGGUACCUGACUAAGAAGCCCCGGCUAACUACGUGCCAGCAGCCGCGGUAAUACGUAGGGGGCAAGCGGUAUCCGGAUUUUCUGGGUGGAAAGGGAGCGGAGGCGGCAGCACAAGGCUGGAGUGGAAUCCCGGGGCUUAACCCCGGGACUGCAUUGGAAACUGUGCUGCUGGAGUGCAGGAGGGGUAAGCGGAAUUCCGAGUGUAGCGGUGAAAUGCGUAGAUAUUAGGAGGAACACCGGUGGCGAAGGCGGCUUACUGGACUGUAACUGACGUUGAGGCGCGAAAGCGUGGGGAGCAAACAGGAUUAGAUACCCCUGUAGUC